RNAcentral lists this ribosomal RNA (811 nucleotides) under Triticum aestivum (bread wheat). RNAcentral's name for it is "partial small subunit ribosomal RNA". Lineage: Eukaryota; Viridiplantae; Streptophyta; Magnoliopsida; Poales; Poaceae. The record is from RNAcentral.
UUCCCUCAAACCCUUCCCACCAAGCAGCCGCCGCCGCAACCCUAGAGCCUCGCCUCCCUCCUCUCCUCUCCCGGGCGCCUCCACCCCCCGCCCAGCGGCGCGAAGCGACCAUGACGUUCAAGCGGAGGAACGGCGGGCGCAACAAGCAUGGCCGCGGCCACGUCAAGUACAUCCGCUGCUCCAACUGCGCCAAGUGCUGCCCCAAGGACAAGGCUAUCAAGCGUUUCUUGGUGAGGAACAUCGUGGAGCAGGCUGCUGUGAGAGAUGUGCAGGAGGCUUGUGUCCAUGAUGGAUAUGUCCUUCCCAAGCUGUACGCCAAGGUGCACCACUGUGUUUCUUGUGCCAUCCAUGCUCACAUUGUCCGUGUCCGCUCCCGUGAGAACAGGAGGAACCGUGAGCCCCCGCAGCGUUUCAGGCGCAGGGACGACGGCCCGAGGCCUGGACAGGGUGGCCCGCCCCGUGCUGGUGGCCCUGGAGGCCCUGGUGGUGCUCCUGCCGGCGCUGGUGCUGUCCCUGGAGCUCCUGCUCCCCGUGUGGCGCUUUGAUCUAGUUCUGGCAUGAUUGGGCGGUGGCGCCAUCCCUAGUUUUACCCGUGUCUGGAUAUUGAACUAUUCUACCUAGUUUUUGCUGCAAUCGGUUGUACUGAAAGUUGGUUGGUCAAAAGCACAAUUUGUGAUCAGGUCUUUAAUGUUUUGGCAAUUUCGCUGCUAUCUAUAAUCAGAGAGAACUUUUUGGUUUGUCUGGGGAUGCCCCCUGUGGUUUCGCGUUCAUGCAUGUUUUUUAGUUGUUGAUUCAUUCAUGAAGAGGUUGU